Molecule: ribosomal RNA, 484 nt
Filed under: Salmonella enterica subsp. enterica serovar Reading
Lineage: Bacteria; Pseudomonadati; Pseudomonadota; Gammaproteobacteria; Enterobacterales; Enterobacteriaceae
Description: partial 23S ribosomal RNA
Rfam family: Bacterial large subunit ribosomal RNA (bases 1-366)
Source: RNAcentral
AAUCCAUAGGUUAAUGAGGCGAACCGGGGGAACUGAAACAUCUAAGUACCCCGAGGAAAAGAAAUCAACCGAGAUUCCCCCAGUAGCGGCGAGCGAACGGGGAGGAGCCCAGAGCCUGAAUCAGCAUGUGUGUUAGUGGAAGCGUCUGGAAAGGCGCGCGAUACAGGGUGACAGCCCCGUACACAAAAGCGCAUGUGCUGUGAGCUCGAUGAGUAGGGCGGGACACGUGGUAUCCUGUCUGAAUAUGGGGGGACCAUCCUCCAAGGCUAAAUACUCCUGACUGACCGAUAGUGAACCAGUACCGUGAGGGAAAGGCGAAAAGAACCCCGGCGAGGGGAGUGAAAAAGAACCUGAAACCGUGUACGUACAAGCAGUGGGAGCCCCACCACCAAAGCAUUCUAUGGUGUUGAAGGCCCUGCAAAGCAGCAUCGCGGUGGCGGAGCGUCGUUUGCGACGCCCAACACACAAAACAAGCGGUGAGUGC